AGCGGAGCUGCAGGGCUGUGCAGGUUUCACUUCGCUCCGCGCAGCCUCCAGGUCUGGGUCUUGCGAGAGGGCUCCGUCCCGCGCCGCCGCCGCCGCCGCCGCCACUGCCACCGGAUUCUCGCAGUCGCCCUACGCGCCCCAGCCCAACUGCGGCCAGCAUCGCCACGGGCUGCUCGCUUUGCCCCGCUCCCGCCGCCACCCCUUUGGCGCCCUUUCCUUGGCCCUCGUCCCCCCCAAUGUCUGACUCUGACUCUCGGACUGAGAAGCGCAAGAAAAAAAGACCAAAUGGCAAAGCAACCUUCAGAUGUAAGUUCUGAGUGUGACAGAGAAGGCGGACAAUUGCAGCCUGCUGAGAGGCCUCCUCAGCUCAGGCCUGGGGCCCCUACCUCUCUACAGACAGAGCAGCAAGGUAAUCCUGAAGGCGAAGGGGACCGCUGCCCCCAAGGCAGCCCUCAGGGCCCGCUGGCCCCACCAGCCAGCCCCGGCCCUUUUGCUACCAGAUCCCCGCUUUUCAUCUUUGUGAGAAGAUCCUCCCUGCUGUCUCGAUCCUCCAGUGGGUAUUUCUCUUUUGACACAGACAGGAGCCCGGCACCCAUGAGUUGUGACAAAUCAACACAAACCCCAAGUCCUCCUUGCCAGGCCUUCAACCAUUAUCUCAGUGCAAUGGCUUCCAUGAGGCAGUCUCAGGCUGUACCUGCAGAUAUGCGCCCGGAGAUAUGGAUUGCACAAGAGUUGCGGCGUAUUGGAGACGAAUUUAAUGCAUAUUACCCAAGGAGGUUAGAGCAAUAGAGGAAGGUGUCGUGUAGUUGUCAUGUGUUCAGUCCACUUAAGGGCAGUGGGGAAGCGUAUGACACGGAGCUGUUGGAGUCUGAAUCCUUGAAGGAGGAGGUGAGAGAGGCACAGGUCUUUUUGAAUAAUUACCAAGCAGCCGAAGCCCACCCCCAAAUGAUUAUCUUACGACUGUUACGUUACAUCGUCCGCCUGGUGUGGAGAUUGCAGUGACGACGGGCUCCUUGCAGAGCCAGAUGCGUGCAGACAUUUCGCUUGUUCAGAGCAACAAGCCCCAGCGCCACGGUGUCGGGGUGCCACUGAUUGCCGGGCGGCCUGCGGUUCUCUCCCCGAGAGGGCGCGCAGGGAGGCCGGCCCACGCGUUCCGAGGACACCGCGCUGCAUGUGGACUUGCCCUUUCUGUUCACCACACGGCAGAAUUUCUAAUGGAAGUUUGUUGUGAAUGUAAAUGAGGGAGGAUUCUUCUUUUUUUUUUUUUAUUAAUGUAAAAAUCAUGGUUCUUUGGAGCAGGAUUUUAUGCAAGAAUGGUGUUUACACACGGUGUGGGUUUUUUUCCACCUUCUUUAGUAAGAACAGGUUUUUCAAAAAGGAAAUGGAAACUUUUUAACCAACUUGUGAAUGAUUUUUGUACUAAGAUUUUAAGAACCUAUUGCCUACUCUCAGAGGAUUAUGUAAACUCUGCAGUGGAAACUGAGCCAGCUAAUUGAUAAAGCUGCCUUAGUUUAUUUUUAGAGAUUACUGUACAGAAUUUUUAAACGGGAGAGAUAUGAGAUGGUGCCCUCCCUUCCCUGCCAUUGGCUCUUUGACAUGCUUUUUUUUUUAUCAUUAAUACCAAAAAAGUUCUUAUGAAACGAAACUGAUUAAAGGGGCGGGGGGGGGGGGGUCUGUGGUCAGCCUGUAUUGAUAUGCCACUCCGGAUUGUAAAUAUUUACCUCCUUAAAUUCGAUUGCAUCUGUGGCAAAAUUUUAAAACUCUGUUUUAUGUAUUCCUCUUUGCUUCCUCUUGUGAUGCUCCUCGAGUCUGUCCGGACGCUGAUGCACAUAUUUGGUCCAGUGUAUUCUCAUGAUAAAAGGUAACUGGGUCAGAACGUGAAUUAGGAUCUGCCCGUGUCAACCACAGCCCAGUUGGUCUGUCUUUUGGUAGCGUACUCACUGGGACGUGCUUGGUGUUGGUUUUCGCCUUUGAUGGGCUCCUCAUUCACAAGUGUCCUGGGAGAAGGAGUAGCAGUACUAGCACAGACAGGUACUGUACCCCUCGGCACUGUGGGCUUUUCUGGUUGCAGACUUUCCCAGUCACAGAUGCAUUGUCAGCACGAGGCCACAGAUGGUGAAUGUGCCCCCUUGCAGCUGAGUUCCUUGGGUUGCAAGUGUUGGAGCUCCCGCCCUCGUGGGAAUUGGCGGACGCUGUGGGCGGGGCUUUAGGCAGCAUUCCCUGGGCAUCCAGGCUUUUUGUCCAACUCCAGGUUUAUCUGGCUUUUGAUGCCUGACAUUUGCUUCCCCUUAAAUCCACUUUGAAAUAAAGGCUUUAAUUCUGCUUUUAGCAGAACCAUAAAAAUUGGGCAUCGGAGCACGAAUCUGAAGUGACCUCUCAGCCUUCUGACAGAUGUCUCUCUGGCUUGUUCCGUAACUCGGGACAGUUGGGUUUUGUUGGACCAUCCUUUGUGUAUCCACCUCUGUUGGGGUGCUCGUUUUCUCCACACCUGCCUAGGAGGAAUGCAGCGAAUGGAGUCACCAUGAGUUGGCCCAUCAUUUCAAAGGCAUUAAACAAUUUGGAGAGACCCAAAAGAUCAGGAAGUGGUGAAAGAGGAGAGGUAGAGAUCAUUUCGUGAACCCUAUAACUCUUUACAGAUUUUGAAACCUCAGAUCAUUAAACAGCUUUUAAAAAGAAAAACGUGAUUUUUUUUUUUUCAAACAAAUCAGUGCCAACAACUAUUGUUUUGCUUUUGGCUCAUAGAGGACCAGUAUUUCCACGUGAUUAAAUUAAGGGGGGUCCUUUCAUUUGUAUCUUCAUAAUUCUAUAUAAAUAUAUAUCUAUAUAUAUCUACAGCAUAUACACAUUUUCCUUUAGGUAGAGAUAUUUGAUUCCAAAUAUUCUUCCUUUUUUAGAAUUUUCUUUUACCACCCCCAAAUCUUCUUGGGGUCUUGAAUAUUUUUAAAGCUGUGUUGAGUGUCAGCUUGUGUUCUUGAUGUGUCUUGAACCCCUUUAUAGGGUCAUAAAGUCCACACGGUUGUAAGGCGGUGGUGGACCUGCUGGACACACACACCAAAGACGUAUUUGGUUCUGGGUGCCCCACUCCCACCCCUCCCCAGGAUCUCCGUACUCAGUGCCAGUCUCUCUGACUGGAGCACUUUACUCUGUUUCUUCGAUACUGCGGCUCCCUGGGAGCGGUGCCCGAGGGCUGUGUGCUGGCCACAUAGGCAGGUUUACCUCCGGCUCGGUGGCCUCGUGGCCUCCAGGCUGGCCAUGGAAGCAGCUUGUGAGGAAAUAAGAGAUUCUAUGAAUUGUAGUAUUAAGGAGCAGGAUGUUGCACCAGGACUUAAGAGAGAUGACUGGACGUCUCUGUACUGUACGUAUCUGUUUAUCAAGAUGCCUCCCUGCGGAAGGUGUGCCUACUAUGGUAGACCUUUGAUUUUUAUUUUUUAUUUCUUUUACUUUUUAUAGGAAAAAAAAUGACUAGAUCCCUUUUUGGAAACUGAAUGCGGGUUUUGUGCCUUGACCACCUCUUCUCCCGUGAGGUUUGUAGAAAGUGUCCUGUGACCUAUCACAGAAAUGCAAUAAACACAUAAUAAAGAAUCCCAUGAGUAAUUCUUCCAGUUACCUGUACUCCCACCCCGAAAUGAGUUCACGAAGAAUUCUCUUUGGGGUUUCAGAGGAACCAGGUCAGACAUCCCUUGGAUUAAAAAAAAUCAUACACCGUAGAGAACAGCUUUCUCCUGUUUGCCCUUCUUGAUACUGUAUAUAUUUUGACUAUUUAUUAGAUUAGGAUUUUACUUACCAACUGAGCCAAAUGUCUGUGUGCAAUUGUGCUUCCUUUACCUUUCUUGUAAAAUUUUGUACAGCAUAAAUGAGUAAAGAUCACUGUUUUUACUAAACUUUUUCAGAAUUGAAGACUGUAAAUAUUGUAGAUUCUUUUUUCUGUGUAAUGUGUCCUACUGUUUCAUGAUGCUGUAACUUGUAGAAAUGUUGUAUAUUUAUUUCUUGCUUAUUUAACGUCUUACGUUCUGAAAAGUGUUGACCUCCCUGCUCCUCACCCCACCCCCCUGCUGUACCAUUAGUUGCUUUAACCCUGAGGUGGUGACUGAACCACACGGUCUUCCCCAGGCUGGCCCUCUAGCCUUGUCUCCUGGUCUUUCUGGUCACGCGGAUUUAGAUUCUUGGGGUUUGCUAUCCUUAUGAUGCAGUUUGUGUUUAGCCACCGAUGAGAGACCAUAAAUAUGGCCAGCUACAAAAUUCUACAAGAAAUAGCCAGUUACUUUCUGUUCCAUAAGCGCUAGCUAGCUUCUCAUGGAAGCAAAUUGUAUGAAUGCCAGGCCAUAUCUCUUUUACUAUUAUUAAAGUAUUAUUGGAGGUUGGGACAAUUUUUUUUCUAUUGAAAAUUUAUCCCUGGCCAUUCAGUGUUCAGAAAACUAAAAACAGGCCCCUUCUGGAGGUGCUGCCAGGAGUUCAGGGCAAGAGGAAAGGACAGGUGAGAGAGGUUGCUCCUGCCUCGAGAGUGAUGUCAGGUCCACUUCAUGCCGCUAAUCCCUUUAUGGCAACUGGUGAGUAGUAGUUGAAUUAUCCCCCACCCACCACUGUCCUGUGCUUUGAGGUGUGGACUUAAUGGUAAUUGUACAGACCCCGCCCCCCCACCCCCCACACCUUUUCCCCCAGCCCUGAGCCGUGUGGUUCCUACAUUUGAUCAGCCUGCUUCAGGUUGUCUUCCUUCUGCUUCUUUCUUGGCUUGGAGAGAGAUUGGGGGUCCCACGAUACUGGAUGUGAAAAUGUGGAAGCUGUAGAAAGACUUCCUAGUGGGUCCCAUGUCAGUAGAUGGUUCUAUCAUCCCUGCUGAUUUAGCCUGGUGCCUGUGUGUGUCCACUCCCCACUCACAUGUGUGCAGGGAUGUGACCACACGUGACGCUAAACCAGCUGAGGUGACUCCUGUUCUCCAAAUGGCAUUGUAUUCAAGAAGCAUCCUCAAGCUCCCAGCUAGGUAACUUGACUACUUUUAUUUGGGAAUCAGACUUUAGAAGCUCCCCUAAGUUGUAUGUCUAGGUUCUGUGACCACUAGUUACUGUAUCAGGACUCAUCAGGUACCCAUUUAUAAAUAGCACUGAUCUGUCUGUAUACUGACCCGUCACUAACUUGUUUCCUAGGACCCAGCGUAUGUAGCAUUUGUAUUGCGAUUUCCCUGGCUUACUUGUGUUUUGCACUGAUGAAUUUUGACAGGGUAAUUGCCACUUUACUUGUGCAAUACUGCUGUAAAUAACUGCAGAUUUUUUUUAAGAAACUUAAUCUUUUAUGUUCUUAAUGAAGUUUAUAUAAAUAAAACUUUCAACUAAU
Nyctereutes procyonoides (raccoon dog) is the source of this 5328-nucleotide RNA transcript. It is a transcript of the gene named BCL2 like 11, with no coding region annotated. NCBI's taxonomy places the organism in Eukaryota, Metazoa, Chordata, Mammalia, Carnivora, Canidae. The transcript is spliced from 5 exons. The record is from RefSeq and is a predicted model, not a curated record.